Molecule: ribosomal RNA, 428 nt
Filed under: uncultured bacterium
Lineage: Bacteria
Description: bacterial SSU rRNA
Rfam family: Bacterial small subunit ribosomal RNA
Source: RNAcentral
UGGGGAAUUUUGGACAAUGGGGGCAACCCUGAUCCAGCCAUGCCGCGUGCAGGAUGAAGGCCUUCGGGUUGUAAACUGCUUUUGUCAGGGACGAAAAGGACCGUGUUAAUACCAUGGUCUGCUGACGGUACCUGAAGAAUAAGCACCGGCUAACUACGUGCCAGCAGCCGCGGUAAUACGUAGGGUGCAAGCGUUAAUCGGAAUUACUGGGCGUAAAGCGUGCGCAGGCGGUUCUGUAAGACAGAUGUGAAAUCCCCGGGCUUAACCUGGGAAUUGCAUUUGUGACUGCAGGACUAGAGUUCAUCAGAGGGGGGUGGAAUUCCAAGUGUAGCAGUGAAAUGCGUAGAUAUUUGGAAGAACACCAAUGGCGAAGGCAGCCCCCUGGGAUGCGACUGACGCUCAUGCACGAAAGCGUGGGGAGCAAACAG